RNAcentral lists this ribosomal RNA (922 nucleotides) under uncultured Bacteroidota bacterium. RNAcentral describes it as "bacterial SSU rRNA". It matches the Rfam family "Bacterial small subunit ribosomal RNA", at positions 1 to 916 of the family's 1533-position model. Lineage: Bacteria; Pseudomonadati; Bacteroidota. The record is from RNAcentral.
GGAUCCAGACUUUGAUUCUGGCUCAGGAUGGACGCUAGCUACAGGCUUAACACAUGCAAGUCGAGGGGCAGCGGGAUUGAAGCUUGCUUCAAUUGCCGGCGACCGGCGCACGGGUGAGUAACGCGUAUCCAACCUUCCGUACACUCAGGGAUAGCCUUUCGAAAGAAAGAUUAAUACCUGAUAGUAUCUUAAGCACACAUGUAAUUAAGAUUAAAGAUUUAUCGGUGUACGAUGGGGAUGCGUUCCAUUAGGUAGUAGGCGGGGUAACGGCCCACCUAGCCAACGAUGGAUAGGGGUUCUGAGAGGAAGGUCCCCCACAUUGGAACUGAGACACGGUCCAAACUCCUACGGGAGGCAGCAGUGAGGAAUAUUGGUCAAUGGACGAGAGUCUGAACCAGCCAAGUAGCGUGAAGGAUGAAGGUCCUACGGAUUGUAAACUUCUUUUAUAAGGGAAUAAACCCUCCCACGUGUGGGAGCUUGUAUGUACCUUAUGAAUAAGCAUCGGCUAACUCCGUGCCAGCAGCCGCGGUAAUACGGAGGAUGCGAGCGUUAUCCGGAUUUAUUGGGUUUAAAGGGAGCGCAGACGGGUCGUUAAGUCAGCUGUGAAAGUUUGGGGCUCAACCUUAAAAUUGCAGUUGAUACUGGCGUCCUUGAGUGCGGUUGAGGUGUGCGGAAUUCGUGGUGUAGCGGUGAGAUGCUUAGAUAUCACGAAGAACUCCGAUUGCGAAGGCAGCACACUAAUCCGUAACUGACGUUCAUGCUCGAAAGUGUGGGUAUCAAACAGGAUUAGAUACCCUGGUAGUCCACACGGUAAACGAUGGAUACUCGCUGUUGGCGAUAUACUGUCAGCGGCUUAGCGAAAGCGUUAAGUAUCCCACCUGGGGAGUACGCCGGCAACGGUGCAACUCAAAGGAAUUGACGG